RNAcentral lists this ribosomal RNA (237 nucleotides) under Planctomycetota bacterium. Its description in RNAcentral is "Planctomycetes bacterium partial 16S ribosomal RNA". It matches the Rfam family "Bacterial small subunit ribosomal RNA", at positions 1304 to 1533 of the family's 1533-position model. Lineage: Bacteria; Pseudomonadati; Planctomycetota. The record is from RNAcentral.
GCUGCAACUCGCCUGCAUGAAGCUGGAAUCGCUAGUAAUCGCGGGUCAGCAUACCGCGGUGAAUGUGUUCCUGAGCCUUGUACACACCGCCCGUCAAGCCACGAAAGUGGGGGGCAUCCGAAGUCGCUGCGGUAACCGUAAGGAGCCAGGCGCCGAAGAUGAACUCUGCGAUUGGGACUAAGUCGUAACAAGGUAGCCGUAGGGGAACCUGCGGCUGGAUCACCUCCUUUCUAAGGA